GCCGGGGUGGCGAAAUUGGCGAGACGCGAGGGACUUAAAAUCCCUUGGGCGAAAGCCCGUGUGGGUUCGAUUCCCACCCCCGGCA
This 85-nucleotide transfer RNA is filed under the name Gemmatimonadaceae bacterium. RNAcentral describes it as "tRNA-Leu". It matches the Rfam family "tRNA". Rfam says of the family: Transfer RNA (tRNA) molecules are approximately 80 nucleotides in length. Lineage: Bacteria; Pseudomonadati; Gemmatimonadota; Gemmatimonadia; Gemmatimonadales; Gemmatimonadaceae. The record is from RNAcentral. RNAcentral also lists the same sequence under 1 other name.